CCUACGGGAGGCAGCAGUGGGGAAUAUUGGACAAUGGGCGAAAGCCUGAUCCAGCAAUGCCGCGUGAGUGAUGAAGGCCUUAGGGUUGUAAAGCUCUUUUACCAGGGAUGAUAAUGACAGUACCUGGAGAAUAAGCUCCGGCUAACUCCGUGCCAGCAGCCGCGGUAAUACGGAGGGAGCUAGCGUUGUUCGGAAUUACUGGGCGUAAAGCGUACGUAGGCGGUUAUUCAAGUCAGAGGUGAAAGCCUGGAGCUCAACUCCAGAACUGCCUUUGAAACUAGAUAGCUAGAAUCUUGGAGAGGUGAGUGGAAUUCCGAGUGUAGAGGUGAAAUUCGUAGAUAUUCGGAAGAACACCAGUGGCGAAGGCGACUCACUGGACAAGUAUUGACGCUGAGGUACGAAAGCGUGGGGAGCAAACAGGAUUAGAUACCCUGGUAGUCCACGCCGUAAACGAUGAUAACUAGCUGUUCGGGCUCUACGAGCUUGAGUGGCGCNGCUACGACAUUAAGUUAGUCCGUCCGUCGGGUAGGUACGGUCGGCGAGAAGUUAAACGUUAAAGUAAAGUUAGUUACGGUCGUUGAGAGUUGCCGACGGCGACGACGAGGGAGGAGG
This 612-nucleotide ribosomal RNA is filed under the name uncultured bacterium. Its description in RNAcentral is "bacterial SSU rRNA". The stretch from base 1 to 519 matches the Rfam family "Bacterial small subunit ribosomal RNA", at positions 338 to 873 of the family's 1533-position model. The record is from RNAcentral.